UUCUUAAAGCAUUCACAUCGGCAUGCCAAGCUCCGGCACCAAGCCAGGUGCUGAUCCCAAAAGGUGACUUCAAGCUUGGUGAGACCGUGAUGACUGGUCCAUGCAAAUCUCCAAUCGAGUUCACCUUGCAAGGCAACGUGAAAGCUGACGGUGGCUCUACCCAGGGAAAGGAUAGAUGGGUUGUGUUCGAAAAAAUUAAUGGUUUUAAGUUGAACGGAGGUGGAACAUUUGACGGUGAAGGCAAUGCAGCUUGGAAAGCCAACAACUGCCACAAGACUUUUGAGUGCAAGAAACUUCCCAUCGUAGGUGUUUCCGUCUUUAAUAUAUUAACACCAAUGGCUUUUUUUAAAGAUGAUAUAAUUCAGUGAUGCAUGCUAUCUUUCAGAGUGUAAGGUUUGAUUUUGUGGAUAACGCUGAGAUAAAAGACAUAACCUCAUUAGAUGCCAAAAACUUCCACUUCAACGUUAUCAGCGGCAAGAACAUGACCUUUGAUAACAUCAAGAUCAUCGCUCCAGCUGAAAGCCCCAACACUGACGGUAUCCAUUUGGGAAGAUGUGAGGGAGUCAAGAUCCUCAACACUAAGAUCGCCACAGGAGAUGACUGCAUCUCCGUGGGAGAUGGGAUGAAGAAUCUCCUCAUUGAGAAAGUUGUGUGCGGUCCAGGACACGGAAUCAGUGUUGGAAGCCUUGGAAGGUACGGAUGGGAGCAAGAUGUCACUGACAUUAACGUUAAGAACUGUACCCUUGAGGGAACCGACAACGGUCUGAGGAUCAAGACAUGGCCAUCUGCCGCUUGCACCACCACCGCUGCCGGUAUUCAUUUUGAGGAUAUCAUCCUUAACAAAGUUAGCAACCCAAUCCUCAUCGACCAGGAGUACUGCCCUUGGAACCAAUGCAACAAGAACGUAAGUAUCUUUUAUUAGAUUCUAUGUCUUGCCACUAUCACCGUAUUCUAUGAAAUUGGAUGGCUCAGCAAACAUAUUAUUCUGAUGGUUUUCUAGAUAUUUAGCAUUCACCAUUUUGGUUGAGGUUACAUAUAUAUGAUUAUGAUCCCAAAGUUUUUUUUUCUAUUUGCAGAAACCAUCAACAAUUAAGCUGGUGGACAUUACCUUCAGGAAUAUUAGAGGAACAUCAGGGAACAAGGACGCAGUAAAACUAUUGUGCAGCAAGGGACAUCCAUGUGAGAACGUUGAGAUUGGAGACAUUAACAUUGAGUACACAGGACCUGACGGUCCACCCACUUUCGAGUGCACAAACGUCACACCUAAGCUUGUGGGAACCCAGAACCCAAAGGCUUGCGUUGGACCUGUGGUCAAGGCUCCUGGCAAAGAGUAAAAUGUUGAAGCUCAUAUCAACACACUAGGGCUUCCACAUCCAAUUUUGUUUAUUCUUUUUCUAAUCCUUUUUCAAGUCACGUAAGGGAGACUUUUACAAAGCUGUAACAAAAAAAUGUUUCUAUCCGAUGCCAACACAUAUAUAGAUGUGUGAGUGCAUAAUGAUGUAAUUAAUAAAACUAAAUUAUAUAUUCUGCGUAUGAUUGUUUCUUUUUAAAAUAUUAAUAUGCGCGGUAAGUUGUAUACACUUCAAUCUUAAUUUUGUUUUCUUUUCCGAAUCUUAAAAUUAUUUAACAAGAUCUGAUUUCAACCUUAAGAUUAAUUUAACUAAUACAGUAUUAGUUUUUUUUUUUUUAGAACUCAUUUUAAACUAGAACUCAAAUCAUUUCAAUAAUAGUUCACUAACAUGUAGUAUUCUUUCCAAGUUAUACUGAACUAGAACUCAAAGAUACACUUGUUCAUACAUAACCGAUGCAAGCAUUUGGACAACGAAACAUGACAUCGUCAUAAGUAAUCUGAUUGGAAAUGUAAUUUUCAAUCAAACUUUCGCUCUUUGCUUAUGAUCUCUUUGGAAAAAAUUUCACUUGAUAAUAUGAGGUGCAUACUCUUCCUCUCUACUUUGGUUCAAUGCUCCUUAAACAUGUUGGAUACUUUUUUAGGCUUCAAUAUAAAAAAGAAGUUAGGAAAAAUUUAUUGAUAUUGUUAGUAAUAUUACUUCUAUGAUAUUGGUACUUCAAAAGAAGCAUGAGUUAUUAUAGAAACUAGGUUAAGAUCUCUGUUUUGCGCAUGAUGAAUUUUAUGUAUACAAAUGAUAUUUUUCUAUUUUUAUUAUUUAUUUUGUGUUUAUUUAUUUCAUAUUUAUAUAAUUAAAUUAGAGUAAACACAUAAAUCAAAACUAUACCUCCUUUUAUUUCUAAUUUUUUUCAUAAAUAAAUCAAUCGUUUUAUUUAUUUUAUAUGAAAUAUAAUUAAUUUGAAUGAUAAUGACAUAGAUAUCUAGUAAAAUUUAAUAUAACUUAUUAAUUGAGAUUUCCUACUCAUAUAAUCUUAUUAACAUUUGUAUAUAUUGCUGUAAAAAAAAUUAAACCAUUAAUUACAAAACUUUCAAUGUGAGAUUUAUUUCAAUACAAAAUUUUAAAUUGAAAUAUUAAGGUCUCAAUACUUUUAAAAUGUAAAUUUCAAAAUUAACGUAUUUAUGUAUUUUUAUAUGGUAUAUAGUUUAAUUUAAACGAUAUUAAGAUAUAUAUAUAUAUAUAUAUUUAAUAUGAAUAUCUAUUAAAUGAGACUUUAUAUUCAUACAAUUUUAUGAUCAUUUUGUAUCUUGUUAUAACAAAAAAAAGUAGUUAAACCAUUGAUUACAAAAUUUCAAUAUGGGCUUUUAACAUUUUUUAGUAAUUUAUAGUUUUUUAAAAUUCAUAAUAUAACAUAUAAGAAAGAGUCUAUAUUUUAAGUAUAUGGUUAAUGUGAUUGUAUAAUUUCUUUUAAUAAUAUAAAAUUAAAUAAAAUAGAUGGAGGUUACAAAAAUUGUUAUCAAAUCUUUAUUAUUCAUAAUCAUUAGUUUUCGUAUAUAUGUUAAUCAUAUUAGGUAAUUUCGUAACUUUUAUUUAGAGAAAUAAUGAAAAUAUUCUUUUGAACAUACAUUACUAAUCAAUUUGAUAGUUAGUUUAAUAAUAAGAUAUAAUAUAUGUUUCGAUAGACCAUCUAUUUUUUUAAGGAUCCUAAGCAUCAUUGUUGUAUUAAUACGUGGAUACAAAAAAAUGUUGCAAUGCUUUUCAAAUAUAUAAAUGAUUAUGUGGUUGAAAGAAAUUAGAAAAAUGCAAUGCAGUUAAGUAAUGAGGAACGAUUGAUUUUUGUUAUUAAAAGACGGAAGUCACGAACCACAUUAAUUAAAGUCAUCGAUUACUGACUGAUGACAACAUAUUUGACAAACAAUAAUAGAAGUUACAUAUAUUAACGCAUAAAGUUACAAAAUACAUAUACAUAUUUGACAAACAAUAAUAGAAGCGACGAAAUACAAACAAACACCUAAAACAAUUAAUUUUCAAAUACAGUCCAGGUUCUCCGAAAGUCGUUUGCUUUGAAAUGCUCUUUUUUAACUUAGUCAUAAACAUCUUCAUCUUUAUAACAUUAAUUAUUUCUUUUAUGAACUGGUUUGCCUUUUUUUCUUCAUGAUAUUGGGUUCAAUAGUUCCAACUUUUGCCUUUUGAAUUGUGUAAAUCUAUUUCACUAUUUGUUGACCAUUUGCAAUUCUUGCUUUUCUUUCAUCAUAUCAUUUUUUGUUGUAUACAUUUCCCUUGAAUGAUGACUAACUUAUACAAAAUUGGAAUCACUUGCAUCAUUUUCGUGGAUUCUUUUAAACCCACUUCUGCCUGACUACAAGAACAUAUUUAAUCACAGAUGAUGACGAGCCCCAUUCCAACAUGUUGAAAUGUAUAGUCUUGGCACUUGAACAUAGCUCAUGCGUUUUUUUUGUCAAUAUAUCAUUAUUCUCUGAUCAUCCAUUUUGUUACAUAGACUUUGCUAUUGUCAGUGCCAACCAUUAUUCCGAUAGUUUUUUCAUGUGGUGUAGUAAUUUUUCUAAACGAAGCAAUUACUGUUCUCUAACAAUUUUGAAAACCAACCAAUGCUAACGUCCAUAUAUAUUUUCCGCAGCCUGCACAACAGGAUUAUCAGAACGUAAAUCUCCUGAAUUUCUUUAAGUUCUAGUACCUUAUAAAAUUCUACUAACAAUUUGAUAUCUUUUUAGAUGGUGUAAAUGUAAUAACAUAAGUUGGCUAGAAACUAACCUCCCAAAAAUAGAGGUAUCAUGCAAAUGCUAUAAACACGAGUGGAACAAGUCUUAUGCCUAACAAUUGAACGCUAAUUUCCCAAAAUUAAAGUAACCUAGCUAAUACUUCCUUAAAAAUGGGUCAAACAUUCUAAAAAAUGAGAAGUUGGGAGAAAGUAUGGGCCUUCAACAUAUCUCUCCAUUUAACGCACUAUAUAAAGCAGCAGGUGCGUAGUAAAAAUCUCAGAAAACAAAAAUUAAAAGACAAUAAAAAAUAAAAAUAAAUAAAUAAAUAUGGGUUCAUAUUUGGGAAUCUAUACAAUUUUGGUUCUAUGUUUGCUAGGAUAUUCAGCCAAUGCUGAGGUGUUCACCGCUGGUGGUCCUCCAAAUUCUGAUAUUACCGCGGUUAGUAUCUUCACUUGUUUUUUAUUACUUGAAUUCCAAUCAAUGUGUAAACCAUUUCUUAUAUUAACAUACUCGUGGGAGCUAUUGUUGCAGGCAGUUCUUAAAGCAUUCACAUCGGCAUGUCAAGCUCCGGCACCAAGCCAGGUGCUGAUCCCAAAAGGUGACUUCAAGCUUGGUGAGACCGUGAUGACUGGUCCAUGCAAAUCUCCAAUCGAGUUCACCUUGCAAGGCAACGUGAAAGCUGACGGUGGCUCUACCCAGGGAAAGGAUAGAUGGGUUGUGUUCGAAAAAAUUAAUGGUUUUAAGUUGAACGGAGGUGGAACAUUUGACGGUGAAGGCAAUGCAGCUUGGAAAGCCAAUAACUGCCACAAGACUUUUGAGUGCAAGAAACUUCCCAUCGUAUGUGUUUAUGUCUUUAAUAUAUUAACACCAAUGGCUUUUUUAAAGAUGAUAUAAUUCAGUGAUGCAUGCUAUCUUUCAGAGCAACUGCCACAAGACUUUUGAGUGCAAGAAACUUCCCAUCGUAGGUGUUUCCGUCUUUAAUAUAUUAACACCAAUGGCUUUUUUUAAAGAUGAUAUAAUUCAGUGAUGCAUGCUAUCUUUCAGAGUGUAAGGUUUGAUUUUGUGGAUAACGCUGAGAUAAAAGACAUAAC
RNAcentral lists this long non-coding RNA (5157 nucleotides) under Brassica napus (rape). RNAcentral describes it as "long non-coding RNA (BNAP_LNC000971)". The record is from RNAcentral. Lineage: Eukaryota; Viridiplantae; Streptophyta; Magnoliopsida; Brassicales; Brassicaceae.